RNAcentral lists this ribosomal RNA (463 nucleotides) under uncultured bacterium. Its description in RNAcentral is "partial 16S ribosomal RNA". It matches the Rfam family "Bacterial small subunit ribosomal RNA", at positions 28 to 507 of the family's 1533-position model. The record is from RNAcentral.
GACGAACGCUGGCGGCGUGCUUAACACAUGCAAGUCGAACGGAAAGGCCCAGCUUGCUGGGUGCUCGAGUGGCGAACGGGUGAGUAACACGUGGGUGAUCUGCCCCUAACUUCGGGAUAAGCUUGGGAAACUGGGUCUAAUACCGGAUAGGACAAUCGUUUAGUGUCGGUUGUGGAAAGUUUUUUCGGUUAGGGAUGAGCCCGCGGCCUAUCAGCUUGUUGGUGGGGUAAUGGCCUACCAAGGCGUCGACGGGUAGCCGGCCUGAGAGGGUGGACGGCCACAUUGGGACUGAGAUACGGCCAGACUCCUACGGGAGGCAGCAGUGGGGAAUAUUGCACAAUGGGCGCAAGCCUGAUGCAGCGACGCCGCGUGGGGGAUGACGGCCUUCGGGUUGUAAACCUCUUUCGACAGGGACGAAGCUUUGGUGACGGUACCUGUAUAAGAAGCACCGGCUAACUACGUG